CCUACGGGAGGCAGCAGUGGGGAAUUUUGCGCAAUGCUCGUAAGAGUGACGCAGCGACGCCGCGUGAAUGACGAAGGCCUUCGGGUCGUAAAGUUCUUUCGAUAGGGAAGUAAUGCAUAUAAGUUACUGUGUAUGUAUUGACGGUACCUGUAUAAGCAGCCCCGGCUAACUCCGUGCCAGCAGCCGCGGUAAUACGGAGGGGGCGAGCGUUGUUCGGAGUGACUGGGCGUAAAGAGAACGUAGGCGGUGUUGUAAGUCAUUAGUCAAAGAGUAGAGCUCAACUUUAUUAAGGCUAGUGAUACUAUAAUACUAGAGCAUCAGGGAGGAGUGCAGAAUUCGUGGUGUAGCGGUGAAAUGCGGAGGUAUAAGGAGGAAUACCGUUAGCGAAGGCGGCAAUCUGGCUGGAAACUGACGCUGAGGUGCGAAAGCGUGGGUAGCAAACAGGAUUAGAUACCCGUGUAGUC
RNAcentral lists this ribosomal RNA (464 nucleotides) under uncultured bacterium. RNAcentral describes it as "partial 16S ribosomal RNA". It matches the Rfam family "Bacterial small subunit ribosomal RNA", at positions 338 to 795 of the family's 1533-position model. The record is from RNAcentral.